GUGGAUGGGGCUCAGUGGUAAGGUGCUUGCCUAGCAGGCNAGAUGUUCUGGGUUCAAUUCCCAGCACCUGAA
Molecule: transfer RNA, 72 nt
Filed under: Neotoma lepida (desert woodrat)
Lineage: Eukaryota; Metazoa; Chordata; Mammalia; Rodentia; Cricetidae
Rfam family: tRNA
About the family: Transfer RNA (tRNA) molecules are approximately 80 nucleotides in length. Their secondary structure includes four short double-helical elements and three loops (D, anti-codon, and T loops). Further hydrogen bonds mediate the characteristic L-shaped molecular structure. tRNAs have two regions of fundamental functional importance: the anti-codon, which is responsible for specific mRNA codon recognition, and the 3' end, to which the tRNAs corresponding amino acid is attached (by aminoacyl-tRNA synthetases). tRNAs cope with the degeneracy of the genetic code in two manners: having more than one tRNA (with a specific anti-codon) for a particular amino acid; and 'wobble' base-pairing, i.e. permitting non-standard base-pairing at the 3rd anti-codon position.
Source: Rfam by way of RNAcentral